Ailuropoda melanoleuca (giant panda) is the source of this 294-nucleotide long non-coding RNA. RefSeq lists it as uncharacterized. The transcript is spliced from 3 exons. The record is from RefSeq and is a predicted model, not a curated record. NCBI's taxonomy places the organism in Eukaryota, Metazoa, Chordata, Mammalia, Carnivora, Ursidae.
UGCUUUGGGCCUCUUCCUCACCUUGUUUUGGCAAUCCCUUUUGCAUUAUUGGUUUAUCCACCAUAGCUCCUCACCAGCUCUGGGCUCUGCUGUGGCAUCAUUGGUGCAUUAGAAAAGAGACAGUGUGGGGACAGCUUGCAACAAGCCUCACCUUAUCAGAGUGAAGCUGUCAACUCUGGCAGGGGGACUUGGGCUCAGCUCACAGCUUCAUUCCAGAACCCAAGAGGAUAAAGCAGCCACCAUUUUGAAUAUUGCUGGUUUCCAUGGCAGAAGAAACAACCCUGAAGAGUAUUG